AGCAGUCGCCGCGGUAAUACGAAGGGGGCUAGCGUUGUUCGGAUUUACUGGGCGUAAAGGGUGCGUAGGCGGAUUGUUAAGUCAGGGGUGAAAUGCCGGGGCUCAACCUCGGAACUGCCUUUGAUACUGGCGAUCUUGAGUCCGGGAGAGGUGAGUGGAACUGCGAGUGUAGAGGUGAAAUUCGUAGAUAUUCGCAAGAACACCAGUGGCGAAGGCGGCUCACUGGCCCGGAACUGACGCUGAGGCACGACAGCGUGGGGAGCGAACAGGAUUAGAUACCCGUGUAGUCCCUGUCUCUUAUAC
RNAcentral lists this ribosomal RNA (303 nucleotides) under uncultured bacterium. Its description in RNAcentral is "partial 16S ribosomal RNA". It matches the Rfam family "Bacterial small subunit ribosomal RNA", at positions 507 to 807 of the family's 1533-position model. The record is from RNAcentral.